This is a long non-coding RNA of Syzygium oleosum, 373 nucleotides long. RefSeq lists it as uncharacterized. The record is from RefSeq and is a predicted model, not a curated record. The transcript is spliced from 2 exons. NCBI's taxonomy places the organism in Eukaryota, Viridiplantae, Streptophyta, Magnoliopsida, Myrtales, Myrtaceae.
CUCCCGAUGCUUCGGUAUGGCGAUUUUGUCACUGCUCCGAGGGCAAUACUCUCGAUUCGCCCGUGCUCGGCCGCGGCUAAUUGUUGGCUCUCCUCUUGGAUAGCCAGCUGAUAGAUCCGGCUGAGUGACAACAUUGGAUCCACCGCCAAAACCUGUGACCGAAAGACAGAGUAUGUGUCGUUGAGAAUGAGACAGAAUAUGCAACAACAAACCAGAAAGACAACGGAGGCAAUUCUAGGAUCGCGGAAGAUAGGUCAGGAAUGAAAGCUCUGAUAACAUGACAGAAAGUGAAGAAGAGAGGAAUUUUCUUGCAUUGAUCUGUUUUGUAUACAUGUACACGUCCCUAUUUAUAGGACAAUGAAUAAAGACAAAA